UGUUUGAGGCGGGGCUGGGGUGGAGACUGUGGUUCUGCAGCCUUCAUGUACAGCCUAAGGCUGCAUCCAUGACAAGUGCUCUGACAUGGACUCGGAGAACAAGAAGUUGGCAUCCUAGGCUCCACUGGUUAAAUUUAUCCUGGGAAGGAAUGUGAAGGGAACAGGGAGAGAAAUCAGAGCGGACUUGGUUUUCUUCCAGCACCUGCCUUCCAAGAGGCAAUAAGCGUGACAGACCAAUCCCCGACACUGGACCGAGCUGAGCCGUUUUGUGGCCUGACAGUACUGCGAUGCUUCACACGUGUUCCCUUGUGCCGUUAGCAGGAACGGAUAAAGGAUGAGAACUGGCCUCAUUCCACUCUCCGUCAGCCAUGAAGCUCAGCAUGUGACAGAACCAGAAGCUGAAAGAGACCUUCAAAGCCAUCCCCUCAUUAUCCACGAGAGUUUCCCCUCUUGGGACCUGCCUGAAUGCUCCUGUGCAAGGAAACAUGCAGCCAAAUUUAGCUUUAAGUAGUGCCAACCAUUGCAAGGGCUUCCCCAUGCUGAGCUGACAUUCAGUAAUGUUUGCUGAAUGGAGAAGGGUUUUUUUUUUUAUCACGGUGUACAAAUCCCUUGGAAGCACUCAUAUCUGUUUAGAAAUGAUUUGUCCUCCCAUAGAGUAGUGGAAACUCCUUCGUAAACCAGGACCCAAACUGUUAAACCAGCAGGAAAAAACAGCAACAAACGUGCAGGAUCUGGGCUGACUUGGGAGGGAAAAUCCAGGCCUGGGAUUUGGGUUUCUCUGUGAAGGAGGUGCCAUUCUCAGCAAAGCUUUGCCUGCUGGGAAGUAAUUUUGCCAGCUGAAACACACUUUUGCAGUUGAUUCUGUACCGAUAGGAAAAUAUUGCCUGGCAGUCUCUUUGCAUCUGGGAUGGGGGCCACAUCCUCAGAGCCUGCUGGGACUCCUCCCCUGAGAGACAGGCCCAAAGCCAGGUUUAUUUAUUUAAGAGUCUAUGGACCUGAUCAACUGCAAAAGCAGCCAUUUAAAAAGUUGUCUGCUGUUGGUUUUUAAAAACAUAUCACUAGCUGGCUGUGGUGGGACACACCUGUCAUCCCGGCAUCGGGAGAGUAGGAGGGUUAGUGUGA
Peromyscus maniculatus bairdii (prairie deer mouse) is the source of this 1122-nucleotide non-coding RNA. NCBI's taxonomy places the organism in Eukaryota, Metazoa, Chordata, Mammalia, Rodentia, Cricetidae. The record is from RefSeq and is a predicted model, not a curated record.